GAGGUUUGAUCAUGGCUCAGAUUGAACGCUGGCGGCAGGCCUAACACAUGCAAGUCGAACGGUAACAGGAAACAGCUUGCUGUUUCGCUGACGAGUGGCGGACGGGUGAGUAAUGUCUGGGAAACUGCCUGAUGGAGGGGGAUAACUACUGGAAACGGUAGCUAAUACCGCAUAACGUCGCAAGACCAAAGAGGGGGACCUUCGGGCCUCUUGCCAUCGGAUGUGCCCAGAUGGGAUUAGCUAGUAGGUGGGGUAACGGCUCACCUAGGCGACGAUCCCUAGCUGGUCUGAGAGGAUGACCAGCCACACUGGAACUGAGACACGGUCCAGACUCCUACGGGAGGCAGCAGUGGGGAAUAUUGCACAAUGGGCGCAAGCCUGAUGCAGCCAUGCCGCGUGUAUGAAGAAGGCCUUCGGGUUGUAAAGUACUUUCAGCGGGGAUGAAGGGAGUAAAGUUAAUACCUUUGCUCAUUGACGUUACCCGCAGAAGAAGCACCGGCUAACUCCGUGCCAGCAGCCGCGGUAAUACGGAGGGUGCAAGCGUUAAUCGGAAUUACUGGGCGUAAAGCGCACGCAGGCGGUUUGUUAAGUCAGAUGUGAAAUCCCCGGGCUCAACCUGGGAACUGCAUCUGAUACUGGCAAGCUUGAGUCUCGUAGAGGGGGGUAGAAUUCCAGGUGUAGCGGUGAAAUGCGUAGAGAUCUGGAGGAAUACCGGUGGCGAAGGCGGCCCCCUGGACGAAGACUGACGCUCAGGUGCGAAAGCGUGGGGAGCAAACAGGAUUAAAUACCCUGGUAGUCCACGCCGUAAACGAUGUCGACUUGGAGGUUGUGCCCUUGAGGCGUGGCUUCCGGAGCUAACGCGUUAAGUCGACCGCCUGGGGAGUA
Molecule: ribosomal RNA, 885 nt
Filed under: uncultured human fecal virus
Description: bacterial SSU rRNA
Rfam family: Bacterial small subunit ribosomal RNA
Source: RNAcentral